RNAcentral lists this long non-coding RNA (750 nucleotides) under Equus caballus (horse). RNAcentral describes it as "lncRNA (ENSECAG00000057456.1)". The record is from RNAcentral. Lineage: Eukaryota; Metazoa; Chordata; Mammalia; Perissodactyla; Equidae.
GAAACGGAGAAAGAGCGUGCUGCAUGGGAGAUUGGUCAACUCGCUGUUUAAUUUUGCAGAGUGAUGGGGAACGCAUCACUGCUGAUAAGAAGCUCUCGAUGUUGAAACAUAGAAUGAGACAUUCGGCAUCACAUCUAUAACAGAACCAUCUCAGAGCUUCAUCAACCACGUGCUGCUUUCUCUGAAACAUUGCCAUUGUGACUCAGGAGCUUCUAGUCUAAAACGAAAAUAAAACAGUAAUGGGGAUGUGGAACCUGGUUCUUGGUUCAAUCUCUCUGUCUUCAAGAUUUACGGAUCCUUACAGCAAGAUUCCACAAGUGAGUGAGCGUGAACUGAAGCAUGAAUGAUAAAGAGCAGUGUGCUGUUUCUACCUCAACUCAGAGAUUCAACAGAAAGAGCAACUGGUCAGCAGCAAUUAGCAUGGAGACCCAGAUGGUCAGAGGAGACAAGUCAUCAGCUAUUUUAUUAAUUUAUCAAGGAAAUGUUUAACACGGAGAGGCAGUCUUCAGAAAUGUACCUAAAAUAUGUUAUUUUUCCAAUAGGCUAAUUUAAUUAAUUCCAACUGGAUUAACUUGAGCACAUUACCAUUGUUUACCUAAAGAGAACAGGUACAAUGAGUUCUAAUGUAGUGGAGUGAAGAGCACAAGACCAAAUCUUUAAAACCACAUGAAUUCAAGUAACAAGAAUUUAUAAUCUGAAUAUCUGAAUCAUCCCUCUCAGAGUAAAAAUGAUAAUAAACCUAUAAUACCC